This 234-nucleotide unclassified non-coding RNA is filed under the name plant metagenome. Its description in RNAcentral is "partial contains small subunit ribosomal RNA, internal transcribed spacer 1, and 5.8S ribosomal RNA". The record is from RNAcentral.
UUUCCGUAGGUGAACCUGCGGAAGGAUCAUUACCGAGUGAGGGCCCUCUGGGUCCAACCUCCCACCCGUGUUUAUUUACCUUGUUGCUUCGGCGAGCCUGCCUUUUGGCUGCCGGGGGACGUCAGUCCCCGGGUCCGUGCUCGCCGGAGACACCUUGGAACUCUGUCUGAAGAUUGUAGUCUGAGAUUAAAUAUAAAUUAUUUAAAACUUUCAACAACGGAUCUCUUGGUUCCG